GAAAGGCAGAAGCGGGAGCACCAGAGACGAAGCCCGGAGCUGGAAACGGCGGCGGCUACGGCGGCGAAAUGGGGAAGUGAGAGCCGAAUCAAAUGAGGAAUGGGGAUUAGCUGUAAAUAAAGAAGGGAUUAAUGGUGGCAGAUUUGGGAUUAUGGUUAUCAUAAUUGCAACACCAAUAAUCUGUGUUGGAUUUCUUUGCUUGUUAUGGUGGGAACAUAAUCGUUGCGAAUUUU
RNAcentral lists this long non-coding RNA (233 nucleotides) under Salvia miltiorrhiza (redroot sage). RNAcentral describes it as "long non-coding RNA (SMIL_LNC008962)". Lineage: Eukaryota; Viridiplantae; Streptophyta; Magnoliopsida; Lamiales; Lamiaceae. The record is from RNAcentral.